GCGUUGUCUACUGCUUCGAAAUGGGGCACCGUGCUGUUACUCCGCUUGAACUUAAGCAUAUCAAUAAGCGGAGGAAAAGAAACCAACCGGGAUUGCCUUAGUAACGGCGAGUGAAGCGGCAAAAGCUCAAAUUUGAAAUCUGGUACCUUCGGUGCCCGAGUUGUAAUUUGGAGAGGGCAACUUUGGGGCCGUUCCUUGUCUAUGUUCCUUGGAACAGGACGUCAUAGAGGGUGAGAAUCCCGUGUGGCGAGGAGUGCGGUUCUUUGUAAAGUGCCUUCGAAGAGUCGAGUUGUUUGGGAAUGCAGCUCUAAGUGGGUGGUAAAUUCCAUCUAAAGCUAAAUAUUGGCGAGAGACCGAUAGCGAACAAGUACAGUGAUGGAAAGAUGAAAAGAACUUUGAAAAGAGAGUGAAAAAGUACGUGAAAUUGUUGAAAGGGAAGGGCAUUUGAUCAGACAUGGUGUUUUGUGCCCUCUGCUCCUUGUGGGUAGGGGAAUCUCGCAUUUCACUGGGCCAGCAUCAGUUUUGGUGGCAGGAUAAAUCCAUAGGAAUGUAGCUUGCCUCGGUAAGUAUUAUAGCCUGUGGGAAUACUGCCAGCUGGCACUGAGGAACACGGCGCUCUCACAGCCUGCUAAUUCCGUCGGUUCUUUG
RNAcentral lists this ribosomal RNA (648 nucleotides) under Saccharomyces cerevisiae (brewer's yeast). Its description in RNAcentral is "eukaryotic LSU rRNA". It matches the Rfam family "Eukaryotic large subunit ribosomal RNA", at positions 1 to 622 of the family's 3401-position model. Lineage: Eukaryota; Fungi; Ascomycota; Saccharomycetes; Saccharomycetales; Saccharomycetaceae. The record is from RNAcentral.